GUUAUUUAAAAGCUACUUUAGUCUUUAAAAUUCACGAAACCAGUCGAGCUAAAAUACUUCUACACUUUAGAAAUUAUAUAUAAUGUAGAAAAAUUAUAGAACUAGAGUACUUUAGGGGUGAAAGGCCUAACAAGUUUGGGGAUAUCUUGAUAGUUAGGAAAAAUAUGUAGUAUAUAAUCACCCUUAAAAUGUUAAGGUUUUAAGGUAUCAUAAUUUAUAUUUUUUUAUUAAAUUUUAUGUGUAAAUACUAUUAUUUAUAUAUCUUAAAAUAUAAUUUAUUUUUUCAAAUAUGUAUUUUACUAACUUGUCCACAUUAAUUUUUAGUUUAUUAAAAAUGAUAAUAUUAGUACUAUUUACAAAGUAUAAAUAAGGAACUCGGCAACAAAUUUUCUCAACUGUUUAUCAAAAACAUUGCUUUAGGAAAUCAUAUAAGGUAAACCCUGCUCAAUGAUUUUCUAAUUAAAUAGCCGCAGUACCCUGACUGUGCAAAGGUAGCAUAAUCAUUUGGCUUAUAAUUGAAGUCUAGUAUGAAAGGGAUAAUGGGUAAAGACUGUCUUAAAAAUGUAUCUGGAACUUACUUAUUAGGUGAAAAUUCCUAAUCAUAGAAAAAAGACGAGAAGACCCUAGAAAUUUAAUUUAUUUUUUUAUAUAAAAAUUUUGUUGGGGCGACAGGGUAACAAAAAACUUACCUAAAUAUAUAUAAGAACUUUAUAAAUAGUAUAAUAAAAUUACUCUAGGGAUAACAGCAUAAUUCUAUAGAGUUUGUGACCUCGAUGUUGGACUAGGAAAGUCUUUACCUAAAAGGUAAAUGUACCCGCUCUGUUCGAGCCUAUUUUCUCCUACAUGAUCUGAGUUCAGACCGG
This 863-nucleotide ribosomal RNA is filed under the name Albersia granulata. RNAcentral's name for it is "partial 16S ribosomal RNA". Lineage: Eukaryota; Metazoa; Mollusca; Gastropoda; Stylommatophora; Camaenidae. The record is from RNAcentral.